UGCACGGUGGUACAGUGGUAGUACUGUUGCCUUGCAAGAAGAUCCUGGGUACGACUCCCAGCCGGGGGUCUUUCUGCAU
Molecule: non-coding RNA, 79 nt
Organism: Characodon lateralis
Lineage: Eukaryota; Metazoa; Chordata; Actinopteri; Cyprinodontiformes; Goodeidae
Source: the annotation of a GenBank genome assembly